CGUACUUUUUGUAGAACGGACCGGCGAGUUACGUUAUGCAGCAAGGUUAAGAACUGAAGGUUCGGAGCCGAAGCGAAAGCGAGUCUGAAUAGGGCGAUAGUUGCAUGACGUAGACCCGAAACCGGGUGACCUAUCCAUGAGCAGGUUGAAGUGGAGGUAAAGCUCCAUGGAGGACCGAACCAGACGUCUGUUGAAAAAGGCGGGGAUGACUUGUGGAUAGGGGAGAAAUUCCAAUCGAACCCGGAGAUAGCUGGUUCUCCUCGAAAUAGCUUUAGGGCUAGCCUCAUGGAUCAUUGAUGGGGGUAGAGCACUGAAUGUGCGCGGGGGCCACAAAGCCUACCAAACGCUAUCAAACUUCGAAUACCAUACAAUGCAGACCAUGGGAGUCAGUCCGCGAGAGAUAAGUUCCGCGGGCAAAAGGGGAACACCCCAGAUCAACCGCUAAGGUCCCCAAGUUCACGUUAAGUGGAGAAGGAUGUGGAAUUGCACAGACAACCAGGAUGUUGGCUCAGAAGCAGCCACACAUUUAAAGAGUGCGUAAUAGCUCACUGGUCGAGUGAUUGUGCGCCGAAGAUGUCCGGGGCUAAACGUGACACCGAAGCGAUGGGUGCAUCUGAAGAAGAUGCGCGGUAGAGGAGCAAUGUGCAGAGGCAGAAGCCGUAUCGAGAGGCACGGUGGACACUGCACAAGAGAGAAUGCCGGUAUGAGUAGCGAGAGGCAUGCGAGAAACAUGCCCGUCGAAAGCCCAAGGUUUCCUGGGGAAGGUUCAUCCGCCCAGGGUAAGUCGGGGCCUAAGCCGAGGACGGAAGUCGUAGGCGAUGGACAGCAGGUGUAGAUUCCUGCACUACCGAUGGAAUGAAGCAGUGACACAGAAGGAUAACUCGAGCAGGGUGAUGGUCAAACCCUGUGCAAGCAUGAGGUUGGGUUGUAGUGAAGUACGCAAAUCCUAUAAGCUGAGGUGUGAUGCGGACCGAAAUUUCAGUAGGAAGCGAGUGAGUUCACGCUGGCGAGAAAAAGCUGCUAG
This 1024-nucleotide ribosomal RNA is filed under the name human gut metagenome. Its description in RNAcentral is "bacterial LSU rRNA". It matches the Rfam family "Bacterial large subunit ribosomal RNA", at positions 600 to 1624 of the family's 2925-position model. The record is from RNAcentral.